This is a non-coding RNA of Nothobranchius furzeri (turquoise killifish), 14690 nucleotides long. The record is from RefSeq and is a predicted model, not a curated record. Lineage: Eukaryota; Metazoa; Chordata; Actinopteri; Cyprinodontiformes; Nothobranchiidae.
UGUAAUGAUUGCAUUUGCUGCUGUCACACCAAAUGUUCCCCACUGAUGGGCAAUAAAGAGCUUUUCUUUUCUAUCAAUCUAUCUGAAGUAUUUGCUGUUCCUGUUUUAAGGUAGGUUAAAUAUUUUUCACAGGCCAACAAAAAUAAGCAAAAUAGUAAUUCUCGUAAAUGAAAAUGCAACAUCUCACCUAUUACCUCUCAUGCUUUAGAGCAGAAAAAGUGCACAAAACCAAAAUAUUUCAAGCUGAGUUUGCUCUACUCUGAUUUACUGUGAUAAUCACCUGUUCCAUCCACACCUCACCUGUUCCACCCACUCCUGCCUCUCUGGGGUUGGGCUCUGAGCUGAGGAAGGAGUUCAUCAGUGAGAUUUCUGUUCUUCUGUUCAUCUUCAUCACAGACAACAGUUGCUCACACAGGUUUGUGCUGCUGAACAUGGAGAGCAUCUGAGCAGCUUGUGCACAUUUUUUGGUCAGUGUCGGGAAGGUGAGAUUAAAAAUGGGUACCAUUUCACAAUAGGGGUCCCUUUAUUGAUGUUACUUAGUGCAUUAAUAAACAUUAAUAAAGUAAUAACAACUGCUUAAUAUUAAUGUUAAUAUUAAGUAAUGUGUUACAAAGUUUGUUUCCCAGCCCAGUAACUCAUUUUAGUGUUCCUGAGAUGUCUCCUAUCAUUUAUAUUUUGAUCAGAUUUGUUCUUGUAAUACUGUCUUUUAUCCCUCCUGUUAAAAACACUUACCUUGUCCCUGCCUUUACAAUAAUCUGACCAUAGCACCAAGUUGAUAAGAGUUCCCAGCAGCACAAACUUCAUUUUUAAGAGAGUCUCUAUACACUGUCUAAAUUUUGCAUCAAUCCAUGGAGCUUUAUUGGCUUUCGCAGUGAACCUCUUUACCGACACAUGUUUGUUGGCUAUGCAAAGAAACAACUCAUUGAUACUACCCCGAAGUAUCUUUGGUCCUAACUUCACUGCUUUCCCUUUUGUUGCCACAGCGAUUACAUUGUGGUCUGUAAACUUAUCUGGAGCUGAUUCUGCUUCUGACCAAGCAGAAUUAUUGUUGGUGUAAAUAUGGUCAAUGCUUGCUGAAGAUGUGCGCCCUAAGUUAUCGAGAACAAUCCUAGUAGAAUGUUUUAGUUUCUUUAGGUUACACUUAAGAGCAGUCUCUUUCAACCUUCAGAUGGGGGUUUAUACAAAGAUACUUUGGGGUAGAACUUACAAGUCAUUUUCUGAAGCUAUUUUCAUAAAUGGCAUUGAGGGAGCAGACUGGAAUAGAGCGUUAAAGUCUAGAAAUGAUCACAUGCUGGCUGAAAUAUUCAAGUUUUCCCUUUUGAUAAAGGAAAUUGAUAAAUUAAUUCAUUUAUCAAAUCCUCCAGACAUCCAGCUUUGUGCGAGACAGUCCCAAAUUGAGACUUUCAAUUUUCAAUUCAAGCUUAUUUAUAUAGUGCCUUAUCAUGACAGGCGUCGUCCCAAGGCACUCUACAGAAUAAACAUUCCAAUACAGGUCAAUUCAUUAAGCCAAUCAGAAAAAAGUUUCCUAUAUAAGGAACCCAGCAAAUUACAUCAAGUCUUUACAGCAAUCCUCAUACUAAGCAAGCAUGCAGUGACAGUGGAGAGGAAAACUCCCUUUUAACAGGAAAACACCUCCAGAGGAUCCUGGCUCAGUAUAAGAAGCCAUCCGCCAUCACUCACUGGGGAUCAAGAUGACAGAUCAAGCUGAAAUUGCAGGAAAUAAUACAGUUAAAGAGCAGAUUGUAGAAGAAAGACGUAGAGUGUGGAAAGUGGUCAGUGUGCCCUCCAGCAGUCUAAGCCUAUAGCAGCGUAACUACAGAGAUAACUCUGGAUAACCUAGCCUUUUAGAUGGAGGCAGGGCAAGGGAGAGCCGUCUUUACUGACUGUACACUCCACCUCCCUCUAUUCCCCCACUUGUCCAGAUCUAGGUUAACAUCAGAUUUUAACCAUAGUCCCCAUCAAAUAAAAAUGUUUUAAGCCUAUUCUUAAAAGUAGACAAGGUGUCUGCCUUACGGACUAAAGCUGGGAGGUGGUUCCACAAGAAAUGAGCCUGAUAACUAAAAGAUCUGCGUCCCAUCCUAUUUUUAGAUAUUCUGGGAACCACCAGUAAACCUGCAGUCUGAGAGCGAAGUGCUCGGUUAGGAACGUAUGGAACAAUCAGAUCACUGAUGUAUGAUGGAGCUUGAUUAUUAAGAGCUUUAUAUGUGAGAAGAAGGAUCUUAAAAUCUAUUCUGAAUUUAACAGGCAGCCAAUUAGGGAAGCUAAGACUGGAGAGAUGUGAUCUCUCUUUUUAAUUCUCAUCAGAACUCUAGCUGCAGUAUUUUGGACAAGCUGAAGACUUUUAGUUACAUUCUGUGGACUUCCUGAAUUACAGUAAUCCAGUCUUGAUGUAAUAAAUGCAUGAACUAGUUUUUCGGCAUCACUCCUGGAAAUCUAAUCUUAGCAAUUUCCGAAGGUGGAAAAAGAAAAUCCUACAAACCUGUUUAACGUGGGAUUUGAAUGGCAUGUCCUGGUCAAAGAUAACACCAAGGUCCCUUACUUUGUUCUCGGAGAUUAAUGUAAUGCCAUUCGGGUCAGGUGAUUGACGAAGCAAUUUCCUUUUCUGAAUUUCAGGUCCAAAGAUGAGAUAUUCAGUCUUGUCUUGAUUUAAAAUCAAAAAGUUUUGAGUCAUCCAAUUUUUUAUGUUUCCAAGACAAGCCUGUAAUCUAACUAACCGAUUAGGUUCAUCAGGGUUAAUGCAUAGAUAUAACUGAGUAUCGUCAGCUAACAGUGGAAGUUUAUCCCAUGCUGUCUAAUGGUUUUACCAAUUGGGAGCAUAUAUAUAGUAAAAAAAAUGGUCCAAGCACUGAACCCUGUGGUACUCCGCAAGUAACCCUGGAGUAUGAAGAAGAUUUGUCAUGUACAUUUACAAAAUGAAAUCUGUCAGACAGGUAGGAUUUAAACCAGCCUAACGCUGCUCCUUUGCUCCUUACAACAUGUUUAAGCCUUUCUAAAAGAACAUUGUGAUCAACUGUGUCAAAAACAGCACUGAGAUCUAACAAGACUAGAACAGACACAAGAUUCUUAUCUGAGGUCAUGAGAAUAUCAUUUGUGACUUUCACCAAUGCAGUUUCAGUGCUGUGGUACUCUCUAAAAUCAGACAGAAAUUCCUCAAACAGAUCAUUAGUGUUUAAAUGCUCACAUAAUUGGAUGGCCACUAUUUGCUCAAGGACUUUGCAUAAAAAGGAGACCGACUAUAGUGAAAUUUACUUUCAUGUUUCGAGAACUCAGUUAUAAAAAACUCAAAGGUUAUCAAAGUGGUCCGAGAAGACUGGAUUAUGUGGAAAUAUCGUUAUGAUGGCAGGAGUGGGUGGAGCUAUGUAUUCUUUGGAUAAGAGCAAUUGACUCUAAGAUAUUACUAAAGGCUACAUUAAGGCUAUCACUUUCAAUGACUUAUGUCCCUCAUUAUUGUCAGUCUCUCAUUUUGAGUUAAAGAUGUAUUUGACCACUCAUGUUCAAGUAUGUAAUGUUCAUUCCUGCUAACAAAAAGAAGAUAUGUGUAUGCCAGUGUAACCCGGACAAACAUGUUAGUGCAUUAAUGUAGUUCUUAAAGCAUAUUACAGUUUAAAAGGGGUUAAAAGCUAAAGUUCAUUAAAUGUUAAAAGUGUUAUUAAUAUUGUAUUUCAUGUAUGUGGUGAAGUUUAAAACUUAAGAAGUACCUAAGUAUAAGUUAAAAGCAAGAAAUGUUUAACAUGUUUUAAUGUACUUUAUUUUGGUUUUAUUGUGGAAAAAAGGAAGUGCUAAGAUGCGAUCGGGAGGAGGAGGAGAGAGCUUGGCGAGGAGGACGGGAGAAAAAGAUGCACAUGUCCGAAGCAGAGUAAUUAAAUAAGUUUCCAGAUCGUUGACUUAAUGGCCGGUAAUGUACGCUUGUUUAAUGGUUCCUGGACUACUUGUGGACACUUAAGCUCAAAGUUUGUCCUGAAGUUUCAUCUGCAAUAGUACUUUGAAGCAGUUUAGCGGACAGUUAGCUUUCACUAGCUAAGUGAAAGUAGCACUCGGAGCAUUGUUAAGCUAAUUCAGCUAACUGCGGAGACUACAGCUUCAUUCUUCCAGCCUGGAGACAUCGCUCAUUGGAAGUGUGAGCCUGGACCAGGACCAGCAGACAGGACACAGUUUGGCACCAGUUUCCCAAGGAUUUGGUUGUGAGUUUGAGAAUGUUGAGCUACAAAAUCGGGUACCUUUUUUUGUUUAAUUGCUCUAUUGAGAGUUAAGUGGCCAUUGUGUUUUAGGCCUCACCUCUCCCUAGCUUCACUCAGGCCAGCAACUUUGAGGUUUUCUAUAGUUGUGGAAGCCGGCUAGUGUGCUUGUGUGUGUGAUUGGUGAGUGGACCCCUCACAUAUUUGAGUUAUAACUGAAGUUUCAGUUUAUUGAUUGAAUGUAUUUGGUUUUUCUUUUUGACUGUUGUUCAAAACUACUAAUUCAGUAAAUUACUAGUUUAAAUUUAACUACGUUUGGUCAUUGUGUUAAGAGAAAAAUGUUGUGAGUUAAAGGGAACUUGUACUCAAACUAUGUAGAAAUACUUAAGACUUGAGGUACACUGUUUUAAAGGGAAAUUCUACAUUGUAGAAUCUAGGGAGCCCUUACCUAUGCCAGAGGGUAAAGGUGGGCUACACCAAGAAAGAUAGACACUAAAAAGCCAGAAUGGCAGCUGGCUUUUGUUCUGUCACAGUUAUGAUGUCCAUUUUUUGCUGGCAAGUUAAACCUUCAGUAGUCACUAACGAACAUGUUUAGAAGUCCCCAACUAACAAACACACUAAGGUGGGCACAAUUUAUUUUUGUUUUAUAAUUGUCUCAGAGUUACUCAGCUGUCCUGGAAACACGCUAUGUGCAUAUUUGACAGUCAGUUAAACUCUUCCCACACCAAGAUCAAGCUUCUGUUGUCCAUGUGUUUAAUGAUGUUGAAAAGUCCUGGCAAAGAAAACAAAGAAGCUUCACAGCAACUCUGUGAUUGUUCUUGAAUGGCCCAGCCAGAGCCCUGACUUAAACCUAACUGAACAUCUCUGGAGAGACCUAAAAAUGACUGUCCACUACUGUUUACCAUCCAACCUGACAGAAAUGGAGAGGAUCUGGAAGGGUAAGUGGCAGAGGAUCCCUGAACCCAGGUGAAAGAAACUUGUUUCAUCUUUACCAAGAAUACUCAUGGCUUCAUUAGCACAAAAGGUGCUUCUACUAAAUACUGAGUAAAGGGACUGAAUACUUAGGACCAUGUGAUGUUUCAGUUUAACCACUCUGCAGACAUUUCUAAAAUUAUGUGUUUUUCUGACAAUAUGGAGUGCUGUGUGUACAUUAAUGAGGAGCAAAUGAAUUAAACUGAUUUUAGCAAAUGACUACAACAAUAACAAAGAGUGAAAAAUUGAUGGGGGUCUGAAUAGUUUCCUUACCGAUAUGAGAUAGUAUCUCGUAAGAAGCCCGGCCUGCCAGACUCGUCUCUGUUUAACUCUGCACAGAGAAAGAGUCUGGUAUCUCACAGGCAGAGAGGCACAUGAGGGACGGGACUAGGCAGCUCAAAAAUAACCAAUCAGAAAAAAGAUGGAAAUGCCGACUGUACCCCACGACGCUGUAGUUUUGUAGCUGUAGUAAAAAUGGUGUCUGGCGACGGCGUAAUUAAACAUCUUUAAUUUUUUUUUAGCAGAAGAAGAAGAAGAAGAAAAUAUCAUUUCUAUAGUCAGAAAGGCUUUUAGCGCUUCUACUUGUUGUUUUUUAAAGACGUGUCCAAGCCAUUUAGAACAGAGGAAAGAGCCGCAGCGAACUCCGCUUCAGUCGUCAUGUUUAUGACAAACUCGGCAUUAUGGAGUGUGACGUAUGCUGCUCAGUGGUGAUUGACUCAGUUAGAAUUCUCAGGGGGUGGGGUUAUUUAAAUAGGGGAGUUCCCAGAUCCUUCCUCUGGGCAGAAUUAAACAGCGGAGACAUAGGCGUCAUUUUAACCGGGGACUCCGGGGACAUGUCCCCGGCAAAAUUUGUGAUUGGCCGCUGUGUCCCCCCCACUUUCAAAAAAGCCUGCUGAUGAGUUUUUUUUUUUACCAGCUCAGAUCGUAUACCUACGUCUGUUCCCAGCAGAUUUUUAAAUGUUGCAACUGGCAUCUAAUUAUUUAUACUUGAGCUUUAAAUAAAAAUAAAACCGUAAUCAAUUUAGAUUAUUUUGUAACAUUUCUGAAAAAGCGCCCUGCGUUAUGCUGAGUACCUUGCCACCCAGCUGUCAGCAGUUGUGAUAAGCAGGAGAGUACGUCACCCACACUGCUCAAGAAUCACGUAUUCUUCUUUACCUCCAACAGGUAAGCAAUGUUAUAUUUUAUUUAACACCAAAAGAAGGCGAUAUUUUAAUGUGAUUAAUGCAGGGGUCCUUCAGGCGUGCGUACAGCCACCCCAGCUGUUAGCAUGUAGCUGGUGGAGGCGAGUACAUGUGAGCAGAAUUAUAUGUUGUUAAAAAGUCUAUUUUAAGUUGAGUUAAGUAGCUUUUGUGACUUGUUUUUGACAUGCGAGGGCUCUUGGGAGUGUUCUGUGAGAAGUUUAGCUGUAGCUUUAAAAAGAAAAGCAAGUUAUAUGGGUGAUAAUGCUUCGAUUAGCGUGUUGCUAAUAGAAGCUAACUUCUCGUGAGUGAGUGUUAAGUUACUUCGCUGUCUUAACCUGAACAGAGUGUGAUGCUGGAUAAUACACAUAGCCACGUUUACAUGCGCAAAAUCUCCUCUAGCCAAUGAAAAUCUUGCCUGUUCGGAAAUCCCAAAUGUCUGUAAUGGACACUAACCCCCAAAUUCCACUACCUCCGCUCCGCUCCGGUCUGCCCCCGCCCUCCGCAGCCGCUCGCUUCCGAACUCAAUUUUUACUGCUGCCCGCUCUACAACGGCUCCGCUCCGGUGCGGAGACCUGAGGUGGGCAAACAAGCAUGCGCGGGAUUUUCGAGAUCUUGCGAUACAGUCCGAGCAAUAAACGCGGAAGUUAGAUCCAAACACCCGUUGUGUGGGAGAAGCAUCAAAAUGAACUGUUUAAUCUGCCCAUCAUUUGUGUUGAGAGAUCAGCAGUGUUUGGAUCAACUAAGUGUGACUACUUUGAUAGUGGAAACUGUAUUUAUGGCUUACUUUUGUGCAUUUAAACUUCAGCUGCCACUGAUAGUUGUUAAAAGUUGUUAAACCUGUGCAUAUGAAACAAAAAACGCCUUUUGUUUAUCGAUUUAUUGUGAAAAACGGAAGUUGUGCCCGCUCCUUUUCCUGUUGGACGGUUGUGAUUUCUGUCCAUUUACUGCGGAGGUGCUCCGGCGUCCGGCGAAAAUAGGAUCGAUUCUAUUUUUGCCGGACGCCGGAACAGAGGGCGGCGCACGGCGCCGCACUGCCGGAGCACGGCCGCAGUAGUGGAAUUGCUCUGAUUGACUACAACGGGACCGAUUUUGCUCCGGCGUUUGUGUCGGAGCGGAGCGGAGCGGAGGUAGUGGAAUUUGGGGGUAAUUUAUGCACCAAGCAUUCCGUCCAAAUAAAUAGGUUGAGCAUGCGCAGACAAUUGUAUUUCCUGGAAAAGAUGGUAAACAAAUGCCAUGAAACGAAAUGAAAAGUGUAAUGUGCAGAAUUAUUGAUCUGACUGGGUGUUCAGUCCAUUUACUUGUGCCCAUUUAAACGUGGCUAGUGAUGGAAAUUGUGUGUUCUGUUAUACCAGGAAGGCUCAUGUAUGAAUGUUACAGUAGAAAAAUGUAUUUGUGUUACAAGUGUUAUUAGCAACUUUUGGUCAUCCACUAUAAUCUGUUUUUUAUGUAAAAUGUGAAAAAAAACCUUGAAUAGUAAUAAUAACCACUAUACAAUCACGCAGCACAGUAACAUGUAAGUUGGUGGAGACCCCUGUGUGAGGCUGGAUAACUCAUAUUGAUGGAAAUUGUGUGUGUUCUGUUGGACCAGAUUGCUGCCAAUAAAAGCAAGUUGAAGAAUAAUCUGGUGCCAUAAUCUGCUUUUUGGUGAAUGUGGAGCACAAGAGUGAUGACACAAAUUGUCCAGACCACAUCUACUGAACAGCGUGCCUGUCAAAUGACUCCCUAGCCUUCUUCCAGUUUCUGAACCCCUGAGAAAUAAAGGACUGUAAUGGAGCCAGGGGAAGAUUUUGAACCAGCUCUCCUGGAAGUGAAGAAUGCUGUUCGGCAGAGUUUGUGGCUCAAUUAGCUGUGCUGCUGGUUGGUAUGGGGAACCUGGACCCUCAGCUGUAUGGAUGGUUUGCUUGUGGAGGGUUAUCCUGCUUCCCUGCAUCAGUACCUGGUGACUCGACCUAUAAUGUAAUUAUUCAGUUGUCAUUAGUUUCCAUGCAUAGCUCUCAGAAAUGUUUUGAUUCUACACAGUGUUCUCCAACUGGUCAUACCAUGAUGUUAUAUAGACAACUUACUUUUCUGUUUGUAUUUUAGUAGUAGUGAUGUAGUGUUGUAGAUCUAUCUGUUGUUUUAAUCAAAUCUGUUUUCCUUCCAUAUUUUUGUACAAGUUGAACCAAUGCAAAGCCCUGCAGAUGGAUAAAACUUGCAUAUGUUUGCUUCCUGAACCCUCACCUGCUGAAUCUGAUCUGAGCUUGUUUCAACACUCUCCAUUUCUUCAUCCAGUGAUUGCACUUGCUGUAAGAGUAUACCAAAGUUGGUUUCAUAUUUACUGUAAGGUUAUAUCUGAUUUUCUGUUGAUGUGAAUUUCACCUCUCCAUUCUCAGCUGCCUGUUCCUGCAUGUGUUCAUUUUCCUCUGUCACAUUCUGUUCCUGAUAGAAAAUGGAUAAUCAAAUAAACAUUACAACUUGUGUGAUUUUAUUUUUUUUUUAUUUUGCUAAUGCAGCAUAGACUUUGACUUAAUUAUUUUUGGUUUAGUUGGAAAAGUAUAGGUUCUUUGGGUGUCCAUUAGUUGGCAUCCAAAAAGGGGACACAUUCCUGAAGCACUGAACUUGUGUUGUUUACUUGAAGAAAGCUUUUGACUUUAAAGUGUGCCGGUUCUUUGUGGUUAGAAAAUAUAAAUAACUUCAGCUAGGCUAAUAAGUCAGAAAGUUUAAAAAAAAAUCUGUGGAAAUAACUUAACGGUUUAAAAAAAGAUACCCUGAAACAAAUUGGUCGGUCAUACGGGACAAAAAUCAGAUUUUUUUUUUCAAAUAUAAUAAAACAAAUUGCAUUAAGACACAUGUGACUCUAGGGGGUGCUGAUUCCUACUGAACAAACGUAGUGCUAUUUUGUAUUAUCAAUGCCAUCAAAAUCUGUUUUAAGGUUAACACAGUUUUGCAAGGCUAUGGAAGGGCUGGGCUGGUUAAGGUCAUGUAAGGGGUUAGGGUCACACGGUUAGCAUCUGGUUUCCCAGUCACUUUUACACCACAAAACUUUAUUCUGAGACUUAUUCAUUUACACACUUCAACCUAAAAUUUAAUCCCUCUAACACUUUAAUUAUGGAUGGGUCAUUUCACAUAAUGGGACCAUUUGCUAGAUGGGGACCUAGUUGGAAUUAGUUAAACAGCACCACUCAGUGACAGGUGCAACACCUGUAUGUCGGUAGGCUACUACAACCUCCUUUCAGAACUAUCCACUUGAGCAGGUCGGGAGUAUAUCACAGGGCUGUGCUGUCGUGUUUAUGUAUUGUAAGAUGAAGUCUUCUGAAAAACGAUGAAAACCUAGGCAUUUUAUCAAUCUAUGAAAUAUUCCCAGAUGCCCCUAAUAGCACAUGAACAGUAAAAAUGUCACGGGAAAAAAGAGGUUUGAUCACCUAGCAUAAAGUAAGGUUUUUAACCAUUAUUGCUGCUAGCUAACUGUACCAGUAGAUGAGAGAAACCUCUCUCAUGCCCUCUUAUCUACUGCUAAGUAAGUCAAUAUCAAAUGAUAAAACUGGAUAUAUUAGUCUUAUUUUUGUCGGGAUGCACUUACAGCACAUUUUUCUUGCAGAAAAACCAUCUGAUAUCGGUUGCGUUCUUUCUUUUCGACAUGGUCGACAGACAACUACUUUUCACCUACUUCAGCUUCUUAACUUUUAAAAAAAUCAAUCAAUCCGGUAGUUCACGGACAGCUAGCCUGUCGGAGUGUGGAGGUGACCAGAGAGUGGAGCCUGAUAAAAAGAUGAGUAUUUUUCUCUAAAAAUCUUAUUUGACAGUCACAAAUAAUAUAACAAGGAUAUAUAUAAUAUAAUACAAUAAUAAUAAUACAAUAUCUUUUUUGCUAGGCUAGCUAUAUGGAUGUUAAUAUUCCACCUUGCUUACAGGCUAAUGGGGGGUUUCAGUGCCGUUGGAAAAACAAAACAAAACAGGAUUUUUAAUAACUGUCAAUACACUACUCUGCAUAUUGGAGUGAAACAUUAAAAACUGAUGAAUACUUAAAUAUGCUAGCCUAUUUAAUGAUUGUCCCCAGCAAUUUUUAAACCCCACUCAAGUGUAUGGUUAUUGUCCCCAGCAAUUCUAAAAACAAACUGACGCCCUUGAGCGGAGGAGUCUGGCAGGCCAGAAUAGCUCGUAAGGGGCCUGCUAGGCAGGGCCCUUAUUGUUCUUCACCAGAUGAUUUGUUAUCUUUUUUAUCAUUCUUUUAUCUCUUACUGAUCUAAGUGUUUCAAUUUACCAUGGGCGAAAUUACUAGCAAAAACUUUUUUCUUUGUCGUUGUUCAGUACACAUUGCACAUGUGUUCAUUAAGCAUGUUCGUUAUGCGUGUGUUCUAACAACAGCGUGCACCCCCACACAUGUUGCUUCUAAAUGAAUGGCUUGGGAAGUGUGGUAUUUAUUGAUUUGAGGUGGUUUCCUCAAUGUCACCCCAACAUUAUACUUAGGGCCGCCAUGGCACAUGGCCGCUUUCUUGUGCAGGUCCCUUUUAAAAUGUCUUCCACAUCUUUGUGAGAAAGCUGAUGUUCAUCGUCUGUGGAGGAAUAAGACAUGGGAACUAACAUGGAAAGCAUAUUGGGACCAUUAAUGGAGUGAUCCUUCGUUUAUUAAUGCUUAAAUAUGAACUGAGUAACAAUAAUAAAGCAACCCUUAUAGUAAAGUGUUAGCAAAAACUACAGCAGCCACAAAGUCAUACUCUGACUUGAGUGUGUUGGAGUUCAGUCAGCUCCAUCUGGAGGUCAGUUGGUGAGCCAUCUAUGUGAACAGAUUACUGAGCAGUUGAAAUCUCAAUUUUUGUGCUUCAAAAUUGGCAAACUGCUGAGUAAGAGGAGUGUUUUCAAUUUGUCUGAGAGUGAGGAGGACAGUGCUUCAGACGCCGAUACUUGUAGUAUGGACGCUAAUGACUGCAAAGACAUACCGGGGUUUUCUCCUUGGAGCAUAAAUUUUUAUUCACCUUCCCAUCUUUGUUGAAACACCCUUCCUUCUGCAUAUAUCUUACUCUUCGUGGGAUUUUGGGAUAAUAUGUUGUUCAAUGUGUUGUCUUUAUUUUCUUGACCAUUUGGGAGAUUCUCACUGAAGGCAUCAAAACUAUGAAUGAACACAUGUGGAGUUAUGUACUUAACCAAAAAAGGUGAAAUAAUUGAAAACAUGUUUUAUAUUCUAUUUUCCUCAAAACAGCCACUCUUUGCUCUGAUUACUGCGUUCCACACUCUUGGCAUUCUCUUGAUGAUUUUCAAAAGGUCUGAACCUGAAAUGGUUUUCCAACCGUCUUGAAAGAGUUCCCAGAGGUGUUUAGCACCUGUUGGCCCCUUUGUAAAUAGUCAUGAAUAUAAAGGAAACACAUUGAAUGAGAAGGUGUGUCCAAAUGUUUGACCUCUACUGUAUUUUAAGACAAUUUAAGCUCUCGUCACGUGGGCCUUGAAUCAUACACGUGCAAAAGAACCUUAAAUUUAAUUUUCAAAGUUGACAGUUGUAAUAUUAAACUGUAGCAUGAAGCAGCAUAGACAAUGGAGGGAUACAAAAUAACUAACCUGUAUCCAUUUAAUUCACUGAAUGUGACAACUUAAAAUCACUGAAUGUUCUAAUUUUUAUCAAUGCUUGCUCUUUCAGAUUCAAGUUGGUAACACAGACCAUUUGAACAUGGAUUUAAUGGUUUCCCUGGUCCCUCUGCAGUCAGCUGUGUGCAGCAAAAACGUUUGUAAUCAUUCAAGCCUCAGUUACAUCGAGAGCGGAACCGAUGGACUGGAAUCCCUGCAGUCGUUUACACUGUCUCUAGAUACUAUGUGGAAUGCCUCUGCAACAUUGCUCAUGAGUUCAUGCAAAAACAACCAUGAGUGAAAAGAUGACCUGGUACACAAAAGCCACACCAGUCCAUUCAGACUACCAUACACUGCAAACCGAUUUUCCAGUCAUUAAUAAUUACAGAAUGAUGCAACGUGGGUUUUAUUUUGAAACAAAUUGGAUGCAGCUUGCUGGCACACAUCACUUUCUGUCUGACUCAUGCCAUUUCUUCAAUUUCAUGACAAUCCACAUCACACGUUUGCAAUUAAUGGAGAUCAUGCGGAAAGAAUCUGCAACUCCACAUUUGGAUCUGCUUUGUAUCACUGCUUUGUAAAUCCUCCGAUUGGACUCAGUGAUUUUCGUUCAUUGCAGAAGCUGCUUGGAUUCUGAUCCUCUUCCGUUUCACACUCGGUGUAAAUGAGGCUUUAGACUGUCCUCAUUAACUAUGUGUGUGCAUCAAAUUACAAUUUAUUAAACUGAUGAAUUGCAAGUGUGAAAAAGACCGGCUUGCUUUGAGGUCACUGCUGGUACAGUGUUAAUUUUUGAAUGAUCGGCCACAGAAACUAUAAAAAUCUAUGUGAUGAAUCACUCUAAAAAUGUUCCUUUAUUAAGUAGUCAAGAAAUUAACCAGCAUCACCCGCUAAACUGGGCCAAUGGUUCACGAGAUGACGCUAUGAUGCAGCUGACCAAAAGGUUGUAUGGACACAUGCUCAGCAGGUAAUAAGAAAGAUGACUUUCAGUCAACAAUCUUGGUCUCCAUUCAAUCCACGAGUCCUGUAGCUUCUGUCUCUAUCUCACUCAUACACACAGGGCAGUCAGUGGCCUCUUAAUCCUGCUCAAACAAUCAGAGCAUCACCAUGUGCUUCAGGGCUGACAUUGAUUCCUUGACCUGUGUCCCAUUCAGUGGCUCCAUCUGGACUGGGUUUGAAGGAUGGUUCAUGUGUUAUUCGUCUGCUAGCCAGAGCCCAGGGCAAGGUAAAUAUCAGCAAGUAGUGGUGUAAUACACUAAACAGAUGUAAGCUAGAUAAACAAGUGGGAGAAUGGUUUUAAGAGCUAGAGUUUCAGACACAUUAACUUUCCUGUCUGGCUGACAGAGACUGGAUGUCCAUUUGUAUCAGCAGCUCCUCACAAGGAACAAGUUUGAGGAGAAUUGUUAGCUCCUUUCAAUCUAAACAGAUAUCCAGUGUGACAUGGUUUGUAAAUAUUUCUAGUUCAGUUACUUUGAUCUUGUUUUCUGCUCUUCUCAAACCUGGUCUUCAUGUGAUAAUCUGCCUGGCCUGUAUUUAACACUCACCCACUUAACCAGUGUGCAGUAGGGGUGUGGAACAUUCUGCUUAUGACAGACAAGGACAAAGUUCCUACACGGAAGCAUUCAGGGUUUGGAAUAUUGAGGGAGCUAAGGGGAGCCAGACUCUCCCGAAAAUGGUGACUGUCAUAGUCGAAGGUGAGUGAACACACCUAAAACGCUCUCUGUGUCAUUACAUGAUGGGCGGUACUGGAGAGCAGCCAGCUGUCUGCCAUCACGCGGCCGGAUUCUUAAGGAGCAGGGAGACACCUCAGCGCUGGAUGAUUACUCAACCUUGAUCCCAGCCUCCACCUACAGAACCUACCAUAACUCUGGACCCAUACCUGUCUCUCAGCUCCCCAGCCAAGCCUGACCGACCCGCUUUUCUCGACCCUCUGAAUCCUCCUGCACUCGGUGGAUCUCCCGAGUUUCAUUCUGCCCCGCUCUGCUCCUGCCAGUCACCUACCGACUGGACAUUUCUCCUUCCCGUGUCCCGAACCUCGCUCCUAAGAAGGAUUGGACUAAAGAGACUGGAAAGAUAUUCACCUCACCUUUUUGAUGGUGCUCUUUUAGUUUCCCUUAGAUAUAAUAAAUUAUUGUUUACUCACCAUAAUCCCUGUGUUCUGAGUUGAUUCUGAAUGUCCAGGGUCAAACAGCUUAAACCCAACGUGACAGUGACAGGCUUCCCUAGAAUCCCUCAUCGUACACACCCAGGGGACACCCUAAAAAGAUCCAGUUUCAAACUACAUUAAACCAUUUAUAUGGACCCUCAGUGGACCAGGGCUUCUUUUGAGUGGAGAGGAUGAAGAGCACUGAUUGUUUAUGUACUUAGGGCAGCUGCAUCCUGAACAUUGCCACAGUAACAUUCUCAAAAAAAUUAUAAUUAACACACAAUUUUUUAUGUCCGCUCAUAUUGUCUGGUAAUUUCUGUCUUUCAUUCAUGUUCGAUGCGCUGGCAAUGGAACUCAAAACUAGCGGUAUGGUGACUUCAUUUCACUAGUGUGGCCGCAAAAUUCACACUUUGCUAUUUUUGCAGUCGGUAGAUCCCUUUGAUCUGUGUAGUUCAAAAGUUAGGUGAAAAAGUGGGAAGCCAGGCAGCAGUUUUUCUGGAAGAUUGAGAGAAGAUGCAGGAAGAUAAGAGACAGACACCACAGGAAAAUAGUCAAAGAAAAAAAAGAAAACAAACAAAAAAAAAAGAAAAUAUAGGUAGAUUUAUCAUCAUUGCACCUUUUAAUUGUAUAAAGCAGUAAUUUAUAUGCAUGUAAUAUUUACAUAUUUGAUACAAUGCAGACAACCUC